GCCAUUGUGACAUAGUGGUUUGAGUGUUGAACUGUGACUCUGGAAACCAGGGUUCAAAUCCCUGCUCAGUCA
Phrynosoma platyrhinos (Desert horned lizard) is the source of this 72-nucleotide non-coding RNA. NCBI's taxonomy places the organism in Eukaryota, Metazoa, Chordata, Lepidosauria, Squamata, Phrynosomatidae. The record is from the annotation of a GenBank genome assembly.